AUAGUAUUACGGCUUUUUGCUAAGAUUAAGUGUAGUAUAUAUAUGUUCUUAUCAAUUUAAUAUCCGAUAUGUGGGCUAGUAGUAUACACGAUAUUAAAUUUGUUUUUUGAAGAGAAGAAUCCAUCACAAUAGCUGACUAUUGGAUCUCUUAUGGAUUGUUUUUGCGUUGUAAUUUUAUUAUGAGCAAUUCUAUGAUG
Small nuclear RNA from Trifolium pratense (red clover), 197 nucleotides. RefSeq annotates it as U2 spliceosomal RNA. Lineage: Eukaryota; Viridiplantae; Streptophyta; Magnoliopsida; Fabales; Fabaceae. The record is from RefSeq and is a predicted model, not a curated record. The transcript has a single exon.